Molecule: ribosomal RNA, 957 nt
Filed under: Triticum aestivum (bread wheat)
Lineage: Eukaryota; Viridiplantae; Streptophyta; Magnoliopsida; Poales; Poaceae
Description: partial small subunit ribosomal RNA
Source: RNAcentral
AUGGGGAUGGCGAUGAGGCCGCCGGCGCUGGUCGACGACGCCAUGUGCGAGGUCUUCACGCGCCUGCCGGCGGACGACCCCAGGAGCCUUGUCCGCGCCGCCGCCGUCUGCAGGAGCUGGCGCGCCAUCCUCACCGACCCCGGCUUCGCCCGCGGCUACCGCGCGUUCCACGGUGCGGCGCCCAUGCUGGGCUUCCUCCACAACGCGUACCGCAACGGCAACCGCUUCGUCCCCACCUCGACCUUCCGGCGGCGGGCUUCCCAGGACCGCCCAGACUGCCAGGUCCUCGACUCCCGGCACGGCCUCGUCCUACUCUACGCCCCUGCGUACGAACUCCCCUUUGACGCCUGCGACCUCGUCGCCAACAAGUUGUGGGAAAUCGAAGCCUUCCCCAAGUGCCGCGACACCAUGCACUGGGAGGACAUCUACGAGGGCGUGCUACACUGCAAUGCCACGGUGCUCUGCGCCAGAGACCAGUGCGACCACCUCGACUGCCAUGGCGGCAGCCCUUUCCUGGUGGCCUUGGUGGGCUCUGCGGACGAAGGAGGCAUCGCCCUCGCCACCGCCUACUCGUCGGAGACUCGUGAGUGGAGCGACAAGAUCUCCGUUGGGAGCCCGGGCUUGCAGAUCGACGACGGAGGGCACACUGCUGUGGUGGGAAACAAGGUCUAUGUCCCCAGCUAUGAGUGUGACAGUGUGGUGGAGUACAACAUUCGUGAGCAACGACUAUCUGUGAUCAAUGUGCCAGAGAGCCUGGACGAGGCACACCUUGACCUCAUAGGCGCGGAGGACGGCAUGCUGCUGUUUGCGUCCGUGCUCAAGUCUAGACUCUAUCUGUGGUCAAUGGAGGCUGGUCCUAGGCAUUCCGCCGGGUGCUGGCCUCUGAUGAAGCGGCACGCGCGGUUGUCGGUGCCGAAGACGAAGGUGGUGAUAUUUCAGAUGAGGAAGAAUGCUUAG